This 219-nucleotide long non-coding RNA is filed under the name Homo sapiens (human). RNAcentral describes it as "HSALNT0081230". The record is from RNAcentral. Lineage: Eukaryota; Metazoa; Chordata; Mammalia; Primates; Hominidae.
AACAGCAGCUAGCUUCGUACCUCAAAGCAACACCAGAAAGAAGAAGCAUUUCCAUCGAGGGAAGGAGUGAGUGUAAGGAGUAUUUCCCCCAAAAGGAAGAGAAGAACAAAGAAGCAUAAAGAUUGAUUACUGGUUACCUCUUCAAGAAUAUGGCUGUCUUGGGGAACCAGACAGAGAUCAUCUUCUAAACCUGACUGUACGUUUUGAUCAUCUGAGAAG